Bos taurus (domestic cattle) is the source of this 778-nucleotide long non-coding RNA. NCBI's taxonomy places the organism in Eukaryota, Metazoa, Chordata, Mammalia, Artiodactyla, Bovidae. The record is from Ensembl.
CUCCUGAAGGGGGAGGAGUCAGAAUCUGCAUUUGAACAAGAGCCUGGAGAGGUUUCCAGGCAGGAUAAGCAGCCCUAGCAGAGGUCAGAAACAUGGGAAAGAAAUACAAGGGUCCCCUUCUAGUCCUGGGCUUCCUUGAUGGCUUAGAUGGCAAAGAAUCUGCCUGCAAUGCAGGAGACCUGGCUUCAAUCCCUGGGUUGGUAAGAUCUUUUGGAGAAGUUCUGAAGGCUGCACGUCUGGAAUUAAUGUGUCAUUGAGCCAUACCUGCUACAAAACAUCCAGGAGAGACUCUGUUCUUGCCUCUGCCAGCUUCUGGAAGCCCCAGAUGUUCCUUGGCUUGGACAGCACAACUCCAGUUUGCUUCAGCCUUCACAUGACCCUCUUCCCUCUGUGUCUUUGUUCGAAUCCCUCUCUUCUUAUGUGGACACCAGUCAUGUUGGAUUAAAAGCCCACGCCACUCCAGCACAACCUCAUCUUAACUACUGACAUCUGCAACAACCCCAUUCCCCAAUAAAGUCACGUUGUGAAGUAUGUGGGGGUUAUGUAUCUUUUGUGGGGAUGCAAUUCAAGCCAUAACACAUAGUAAGAAUCUUAUGGGAAACUCCUUGGAAGGCAUGGUCUGUGUCUUCCUCACCAUCUUUCACAGGCCAAUCCUGAUGCAGAAUUAAGAUCACAGGCUGCUGUAAUAAAUAGCAUUGUGGAAAUUGAAUGUUAGAGAAAAUCUGUUAAAUGAAUGAAAAUUAAUUUUUGAUGGUCACAGGCCUGAUCCAGGUAUUAG